UCCUACGGGGCGCAGCAGUGGGGGAUAUUGCACAAUGGGGGGAACCCUGAUGCAGCGACGCCGCGUGGGUGAAGAAGCGCCUCGGCGCGUAAAGCCCUGUCCGCAGGGAAGAAAAUGACGGUACCUGAAGAAGAAGCCCCGGCUAACUACGUGCCAGCAGCCGCGGUAAUACGUAGGGGGCAAGCGUUAUCCGGAUUUACUGGGUGGAAAGGGGGCGCAGGCGGCGAUGCAAGCCAGGAGUGGAAGCUCGGGGCCCAAC
Molecule: ribosomal RNA, 259 nt
Filed under: uncultured bacterium
Lineage: Bacteria
Description: partial 16S ribosomal RNA
Rfam family: Bacterial small subunit ribosomal RNA
Source: RNAcentral